ACGAAAAUAACGAUACGGGACUCAUCCGAGGCCCCGUAAUCGGAAUGAGUACACUUUAAAUCCUUUAACGAGGAUCCAUUGGAGGGAAAGUCUGGUGCCAGCAGCCGCGGUAAUUCCAGCUCCAAUAGCGUAUAUUAAAGUUGUUGCGGUUAAAAAGCUCGUAGUUGAAUCUGUGUACCACACUGUCGGUUCUCCGCUCGCGGUGAUCACUGGCGUGAUGUGGUACGUCCUACCGGUGGGCUUAGCUCUUCACGGGGCGGCCCAACUAAUAUCCCGUCGCGGUGCUCUUUACCGAGUGUCGAGGUGGGCCGGUACGUUUACUUUGAACAAAUUAGAGUGCUCAAAGCAGGCCGUUCUCGCCUGAAUACUGUGUGCAUGGAAUAAUGGAAUAGGACCUCGGUUCUAUUUUGUUGGUUUUCGGAACCCUGAGGUAAUGAUUAAUAGGGACAGAUGGGGGCAUUCGUAUUGCGACGUUAGAGGUGAAAUUCUUGGAUCGUCGCAAGACGGACAGAAGCGAAAGCAUUUGCCAAAAAUGUUUUCAUUAAUCAAGAACGAAAGUUAGAGGUUCGAAGGCGAUCAGAUACCGCCCUAGUUCUAACCAUAAACGAUGCCAGCUAGCGAUCCGCCGAAGUUCCUCCGAUGACUCGGCGGGCAGCUUCCGGGAAACCAAAGCUUUUGGGUUCCGGGGGAAGUAUGGUUGCAAAGCUGAAACUUAAAGGAAUUGACGGAAGGGCACCACCAGGAGUGGAGCCUGCGGCUUAAUUUGACUCAACACGGGAAACCUCACCAGGCCCGGACACCGGAAGGAUUGACAGAUUGAUAGCUCUUUCUUGAUUCGGUGGGUGGUGGUGCAUGGCCGCUACUUACGUUG
This 871-nucleotide ribosomal RNA is filed under the name Sclerogibba sp. SNU-HY00044. RNAcentral's name for it is "SSU rRNA". It matches the Rfam family "Eukaryotic small subunit ribosomal RNA", at positions 471 to 1301 of the family's 1831-position model. The record is from RNAcentral. Lineage: Eukaryota; Metazoa; Arthropoda; Insecta; Hymenoptera; Sclerogibbidae.